CGCGAAGCGCCGCCGCACCGGCCAGCUGCCCCAAAAGUACAGACAGCCGCGACCGCCUCCUGAGCUCCGCCUUCCAGGCGGCCAACAUGUCUGCCUCCCGACCUCCGCUGCAAUUCGUGGCCUCUUCCACCUGCAGGUCGUUGUCUCCUACUACUGCAGGUCGCUGCCUCCUCCUUCUGUAGAUCGAUGGCUAUCUACUAGGUGCGUGAGCGUGAUGUUGAACUGAACGAUAAGCAUCAUCUGAACCAUAUGGGGGUUUAAUCAUGUAUAGCCACAGCGAUAGUGGAUGAGAGUACGUUGCUGAGCACCACUCGAUGACAAAAUGGUCAUCACAAGAUUCCCAAUGGAGAAAAUAAAAGAAGAUGGUGGUUUGAUAUCAGGAAGCAAGUGCUAGUACUAUAACAAGUCCAACUCAUCAUCGCCCAGACCAAUGUUGAAUCAAGUUCAGUUUUGUACGUAAGAGGUUCAGCCAUUUUUCUCUACUACUGAAACCAAUCAUUUGACAGGGAGUUCAAACUUUCUGUACAGGAAAGUGCACAUCCUAUUUCCCACACUUUUCUAUUUUUGAUCGCACAAACAUUUAAAAUAAAAUGUUUUAUUGAGAAGCUCACACACUACCAUCUCAAAUGUUCAGGUUUUCUUUUCCGUAAAGUUCAUAUUUUUUCUAAAAUGGAGUACUCUUCAGUUAAAUUUUGUAAAAAGAAAAAACAUCCUGAAUAGCAAGGACAAUUCAACAACAAGACCUAUAGUAGUUCAUCAGUAUGUAUCCACUAGAAAAAAUCAAGUUAUGAUGUUAGUCUUGGCAUUCAUCUUUUCAGAAUAUCGAGUAAAUAAGCAACUUCGGCAUGCCAAUGGGACCUUUUCA
Molecule: long non-coding RNA, 865 nt
Organism: Triticum dicoccoides
Lineage: Eukaryota; Viridiplantae; Streptophyta; Magnoliopsida; Poales; Poaceae
Exons: 3
Source: RefSeq, a predicted model, not a curated record